UUCUUUAUAUCUUUUUAUUGAAACAAGGUAACUCUCAUAAUGCACUGAAACAUCCUUGAUCUCAAAACAUUGUGCAUGUACCCAAACAGCUGAACUGCAUAGCCAAUGCUUCGGUCAGGGAGUCAAUGAAUAAGAAUUUGGAGCUAUCACUGGUGGGGCACUCUUUAGGGAUGCUUUGUUGGUGGAAGAGAAGUCUUCAUCAAUGGCUAUUGCAAUAACCAAUAGCUGAACUGUAAAAAGUACUUGUGAUCUUUUUCAGCUGGACCAUGCAGAAGAAAACAAUCUAACUGGCCAACUGGAUUGCUAAUCAAUGUGAGGUUGCUAGCAGCAUAUUUUCAAGCAUCUUCAAUCACUUGGUAUUGGUGGUUGAUGUAGGUUGAGACAAAAGUCUAUUGCAGUAUUGGUGUUGCUGUUGCAGUUGGUGCAUCAUUUGUAGAUAGCAAUUGAUUAGAAGUUUAUGUAUUUAGUAUUUAAAGUGAAAAAUUAUGCUUGGAUUUUGGUUUACUAUUGUUAAUAUUAUUAAUUUGGUUUUUAGGUU
This is a long non-coding RNA of Helianthus annuus (common sunflower), 538 nucleotides long. RefSeq lists it as uncharacterized. The record is from RefSeq and is a predicted model, not a curated record. The transcript has 2 exons. Lineage: Eukaryota; Viridiplantae; Streptophyta; Magnoliopsida; Asterales; Asteraceae.